AGAGUUUGAUCCUGGCUCAGAUUGAACGCUGGCGGUAUGCUUAACACAUGCAAGUCGAACGAGAACGGAACUAGCUUGCUAGUUUGUCAGCUAAGUGGCGCACGGGUGAGUAAUAUAUAGUUAAUCUGCCCCAAAGAAGAGAAUAAUUGUUGGAAACGACUUGUAAAACUCUAUAUGCCUUUAUUACACAAGUAAGCAAGGGAAACAUUUAUGGCUUUGGGAUGAGACUGUACAGUAUCAGAUUGUUGGUGGGGUAAUGGCCUACCACGUCUAUGACGCUUAACUGGUUUGAGAGGAUGAUCAGUCACACUGGAACUGAGACACGGCCCAGACUCCUACGGGAGGCAGCAGUGGGGAAUAUUGCACAAUGGAGGAAACUCUGAUGCAGCAACGCCGCGUGGAGGAUGACACAUUUCGGUGCGUAAACUCCUUUUAUAUGAGAAGAUAAUGACGGUAUCAUAUGAAUAAGCACCGGCUAACUUCGUGCCAGCAGCCGCGGUAAUACGAGGGGUGCAAGCGUUACUCGGAAUCACUGGGCGUAAAGAGCAUGUAGGCGGUUAUUUAAGUUGGAAGUGAAAUCCUAUGGCUCAACCAUAGAACUGCUUCCAAAACUGAAUAACUAGAGUAUGGGAGAGGUAGAUGGAAUUUCUGAUGUAGGGGUAAACUCCGGAGAGAUCAGAAGGAAUACCGAUUGCGAAGGCGAUCUACUGGAACAUUACUGACGCUAAGAUGCGACAGCGUGGGGAGCAAACAGGAUUAGAUACCCUGGUAGUCCACGCCCUAAACGAUGUACACUAGUUGUUGCUAUGCUAGACAUAGCAGUAAUGCAGUUAACACAGUAAGUGUACCGCCUGGGGAGUACGGUCGCAAGAUUAAAACUCAAAGGAAUAGACGGGGACCCGCACAAGCGGUGGAGCAUGUGGUUUAAUUCGAUGCAACGCGAAGAACCUUACCUGCCCUUGACAUUGACAGAACCCUGGAGAGAUCCGGGGGUGCCUUCGGGCCUGGAAAACAGGUGCUGCAUGGCUGUCGUCAGCUCGUGUCGUGAGAUGUUGGGAUAAGUCCCGCAACGAGCGCAACCCUUGUCCUUAGUUGCCAUCAUUUAGUUGGGCACUCUAGGGAGACUGCCGGUGACAAACCGGAGGAAGGUGGGGAUGACGUCAAGUCAUCAUGGCCCUUACGGCCAGGGCUACACACGUGCUACAAUGGGGUAUACAAAGAGCCGCAAUACCGCGAGGUGGAGCAAAUCUUAAAAAUAUCUCCCAGUUCGGAUAGCAGUCUGCAACUCGACUGCUUGAAGUUGGAAUCGCUAGUAAUCGUGAAUCAGCAAUGUCACGGUGAAUACGUUCCCGGGUCUUGUACUCACCGCCCGUCACACCAUGGGAGUUGAUUUCAUUCGAAGCGGGGAUGCUAAAAUAGCUACCCUCCACAGUGGAAUUAGUAACUAGGGUGAAGUCGUAACAAGGUAACC
RNAcentral lists this ribosomal RNA (1471 nucleotides) under endosymbiotic eubacteria. RNAcentral describes it as "bacterial SSU rRNA". It matches the Rfam family "Bacterial small subunit ribosomal RNA". The record is from RNAcentral.